CCCUUAGAUGUUCUGGGCCGCACGCGCGCUACACUGACGAAUGCAACGAGCUUAUAACCUUGGCCGAAAGGUCUGGGUAAUCUCCAAAUUUCGUCGUGAUGGGGAUAGAUUAUUGCAAUUAUUAAUCUUCAACGAGGAAUGCCUAGUAAGCGCAAGUCAUCAGCUUGCGUUGAUUACGUCCCUGCCCUUUGUACACACCGCCCGUCGCUCCUACCGAUUGAAUGGUCCGGUGAAGCGUUCGGACCGUGGCUUGGUCGCUUGCGUCCGACUGCUGAAACUUGAUUAAACCAUAUCAUUUAGAGGAAGGUGAAGUCGUAACA
This 320-nucleotide ribosomal RNA is filed under the name uncultured eukaryote. RNAcentral describes it as "partial 18S ribosomal RNA". It matches the Rfam family "Eukaryotic small subunit ribosomal RNA", at positions 1470 to 1796 of the family's 1831-position model. The record is from RNAcentral.